GCCUGGUGCAGGAGCUGCUCCCAUGAUGCCUGGCUCACCGAUGAUGAGACCACAGUUUCCCGCACAAGGAGCCCCUGGACAACCGAUGUCUCCAGGAAUGGCCCAGAGUCCCAGGAAGCCUCCCCCUCCUAAAGACCCUCUCGCUGACCUCAAUAUCAAAGACUUCAUGUAGAUGAGCAGCUGGUUUGUCACACUUAUUGUGCAGCCCUGAUGAAUCAGACGUGUGUAUUCUCUCUUCCAUUCAUCACAUUCAGGGACUCCAGUCCCUC
Long non-coding RNA from Carassius auratus (goldfish), 269 nucleotides. RefSeq lists it as uncharacterized. The record is from RefSeq and is a predicted model, not a curated record. NCBI's taxonomy places the organism in Eukaryota, Metazoa, Chordata, Actinopteri, Cypriniformes, Cyprinidae. The transcript has 3 exons.